This 351-nucleotide unclassified non-coding RNA is filed under the name soil metagenome. RNAcentral describes it as "partial contains 5.8S ribosomal RNA, internal transcribed spacer 2, and large subunit ribosomal RNA". The stretch from base 1 to 120 matches the Rfam family "5.8S ribosomal RNA", at positions 35 to 154 of the family's 154-position model. The record is from RNAcentral.
GAUGAAGAACGCAGCGAAAUGCGAUAAGUAAUGUGAAUUGCAGAAUUCAGUGAAUCAUCGAAUCUUUGAACGCACAUUGCGCCCGCCAGUAUUCUGGCGGGCAUGCCUGUUCGAGCGUCAUUACAACCCUCAGGCCCCCGGGCCUGGCGUUGGGGAUCGGCAGAAGCCCCCUGUGGGCACACGCCGUCCCUCAAAUACAGUGGCGGUCCCGCCGCAGCUUCCAUUGCGUAGUAGCUAACACCUCGCAACUGGAGAGCGGCGCGGCCAUGCCGUAAAACACCCAACUUCUGAAUGUUGACCUCGAAUCAGGUAGGAAUACCCGCUGAACUUAAGCAUAUCAAUAAGCGGGGA